UACGGAAGGGCAGCAGUGGGGAAUAUUGCACAAUGGGCGCAAGCCUGAUGCAGCCAUGCCGCGUGUAUGAAAAAGGCCUUCGGGUUGUAAAGUACUUUCAGUCGUGAGGAAGGUGUUAAGGUUAAUAACCUUAGCAAUUGACGUUAGCGACAGAAGAAGCACCGGCUAACUCCGUGCCAGCAGCCGCGGUAAUACGGAGGGUGCGAGCGUUAAUCGGAAUUACUGGGCGUAAAGGGCACGCAGGCGGUUAAUUAAGUUGGAUGUGAAAUCCCCGGGCUUAACCUGGGAAUGGCAUUCAAGACUGGUUAGCUAGAGUCUUGUAGAGGGGGUAGAAUUCCAUGUGUAGCGGUGAAAUGCGUAGAGAUGUGGAGGAAUACCGGUGGCGAAGGCGGCCCCUGGACAAAGACUGACGCUCAUGUGCGAAAGCGUGGGGAGCAAACAGGGAUUAGAUACC
This 454-nucleotide ribosomal RNA is filed under the name uncultured bacterium. RNAcentral describes it as "bacterial SSU rRNA". It matches the Rfam family "Bacterial small subunit ribosomal RNA", at positions 340 to 786 of the family's 1533-position model. The record is from RNAcentral.